GUGGUUGUGGCUCAGUGGUAGAGCACUUGCCUGGCAUGUGUGAGGCACUGGAUUCAAUCCUCAGCACCACA
This is a non-coding RNA of Ictidomys tridecemlineatus (thirteen-lined ground squirrel), 71 nucleotides long. Lineage: Eukaryota; Metazoa; Chordata; Mammalia; Rodentia; Sciuridae. The record is from Rfam.